This is a long non-coding RNA of Pongo pygmaeus (Bornean orangutan), 771 nucleotides long. RefSeq lists it as uncharacterized. NCBI's taxonomy places the organism in Eukaryota, Metazoa, Chordata, Mammalia, Primates, Hominidae. The record is from RefSeq and is a predicted model, not a curated record. The transcript has 3 exons.
UUUUUCAGUACCGGGAAAACAGGAGCGUGUGAUUGGGGUUUACAGUGUUUUCUCUCGCGCUCUUAGUCUCUAGGGAAUUCGGGCUGUGUUUAGCGGCUGGGAUAUUGUAGAAUUGGUUUUCAGAGAAGUUCCUCGACUCCUGAGGCGAAACAUAAAGGGAUGGGAGUGGUGUGGGAAUUUUUCUCUGUCGCCCAGGAUGGAGUGCAGUGCAGUGGCGCGAUCCUCCAACCUCCGCCUCUCGAGUUCAAGCGAUUCUCCUGCCUCAGCCUCCCGAGUAGCUGGGACGCGCGCCACCCCACCCAGAUGAUCUUUUUAAAUGCAAAAUGCCAUCGAUGCGGAAAAUCAAAGAAUCAGCUUAAGUUCCAGAAAAAAGAAAAACCAACCAAAUGAACAAUAAGACAACAACAACAACAACAACAACAAAAAAGGCCUUUUGGGAUUUUGGAUGAUAUUGCAUCAAAUCCAUACAUUAACCUGAGAGACAAGAGACUCCUUCAACAUUGAGCCUUCCAAUCAUGAUUUUCAAUUCAUUUAGGUCUUCUGUAAUGUUUCAUAAUAUAAUUGUAUUUGUUGCUAUGCAGAAGUUUCACUGAUCUUUUAUUAUCUCUCUAUAUAUUUGAUAUUUGACACUAUUGUAAAUAGUAUCUUUUUAAUAUUUCAUUUUCCUUUUUUGUUGCUUAAAUAUAUAUAAAGUAAGCUAAUUUUUCCAAACUAAUUUUUAUAUCCAGGAACCCUGCUAAAAUUUCUUAUCCAAUAAAAAUAUAAAUGUGU